RNAcentral lists this ribosomal RNA (256 nucleotides) under uncultured bacterium. RNAcentral's name for it is "partial 16S ribosomal RNA". It matches the Rfam family "Bacterial small subunit ribosomal RNA", at positions 516 to 771 of the family's 1533-position model. The record is from RNAcentral.
CGCGGUAAUACGAAGGGUGCAAGCGUUACUCGGAAUUACUGGGCGUAAAGCGCACGUAGGCGGAUUGGUCAGUUAGGGGUGAAAUCCCAGGGCUCAACCCUGGAACUGCCUUUAAUACUGCUAGUCUUGAGUGCGAGAGAGGUGAGUGGAAUUCCGAGUGUAGAGGUGAAAUUCGUAGAUAUUCGGAGGAACACCAGUGGCGAAGGCGGCUCACUGGCUCGAUACUGACGCUGAGGUGCGAAAGCGUGGGGAGCAA